GACUCAGAUUCUGGCUGAUGCUCAACUAAGCAACACUUCUGAGCUCCUGGGGUGACCCAACUAUGGAUUUGGUGUGUUUAGAAAACUUUGGAAGUUAGCUUCCACGCCAUUGGUAACCUUUAAUUUUGGGACACUGAAAUGUCUCAAAAAGCGACUGCAGAUCUAGAAGUCCCCAUGAGUUCCAGUAGCUUGGGAGGGACCAACGAAGAAAAAGGGGGGACUCGCAGGCAAUGUCCAUAGCUACAAGAAGAGGAGGAGAAAGGAGAUCACGCUGCUGUCAGGCUCAGGAGCUCAGAAGCAAGCACUGCACGGCAGCCCCAAAACUUACUUCCUCCGGGCGCGCCGCGAUGACGUCAUCCCUGCUGCGGCUCGGAGGCGUCACUCGCAGGCGCGCGGAGAGGACUUCAAGGCUCGGUUUUGACUCUGAUUUGGUGGCGACGGGGAGAGGGAAAAUUGAGAGUGAGGAGUUCAGUUUGUGGAUUCUGGAAACCAGCAUUUGAGAAGGAAAGCUGUGUGUUUACGGAGGGACUCUAUCUGUCCUUUCCGCCUUUUAAAAGUCUCAAUGCCCGUUAACCGCUUACUCCACUUGCCUCAUCAAGUCUGGAAACGCGAGAAAACUCAUUUCCGCGUCUGCGGGGUCGCGAGGCGGCUGCAGGUGGACGGGUUAGAUUCAGCCUUGCUCGUUUCAGCUGGACAGAGAUGGGGCGCCUGUGUUUACAUCGAAUUACCAGUGUUUCUUUCUGAUCCACAAGCAGCUAAAAAAGUCACAUUGCUUGAACAAAACGUAUCCAGUCCAUUAACUCACUCCACAACUGUCGAGCUAGCGCCCCGGAACAGCGCCAGCGCCAGAAACAGAACAAGGCGCCGCUGCUAUCCAGUUAUCGGAUUUUUCCAAUUCACCAGUCCAGAUCUAGGGCAAUUUCACAAACCUGACUUUUUAUGUCAGUUACUCAUCAGAGUAAAAGGAAACGAA
Long non-coding RNA from Talpa occidentalis (Iberian mole), 973 nucleotides. RefSeq lists it as uncharacterized. The record is from RefSeq and is a predicted model, not a curated record. NCBI's taxonomy places the organism in Eukaryota, Metazoa, Chordata, Mammalia, Eulipotyphla, Talpidae. The transcript has 3 exons.